AAUAUUGGACAAUGGGCGAAAGCCUGAACCAGCCAAGCCGCGUGCAGGAAGAAGGCCUUAGGGUUGGAAACCGGUUUUUUUAGGGAGGAAAAUGAAGGUACCGUUAUCAAUAUAUGGAUCGGGCCCAGCCUUCGCAAU
Molecule: ribosomal RNA, 138 nt
Filed under: uncultured bacterium
Lineage: Bacteria
Description: partial 16S ribosomal RNA
Source: RNAcentral